RNAcentral lists this ribosomal RNA (253 nucleotides) under uncultured bacterium. RNAcentral's name for it is "partial 16S ribosomal RNA". It matches the Rfam family "Bacterial small subunit ribosomal RNA", at positions 524 to 776 of the family's 1533-position model. The record is from RNAcentral.
UACGGAGGAUGCAAGGGGUAGCCGGAGUUAUUGGGCGUAAAGAGUCCGCAGGUGGUACAUCAAGUCUGCUGUCAAAGACCGGAGCUCAACUCCGGGCAGGCAGUGGAAACUGGUGAACUAGAGUACGGUAGGGGUAGAGGGAAUUCCCAGUGUAGCGGUGAAAUGCGUAGAGAUUGGGAAGAACACCAGUGGCGAAGGCGCUCGACUGGGCCGUAACUGACACUCAUGGACGUAAGCUAGGGGCGGGAAUGGG